UGGGGAAUAUUGGACAAUGGGGGGAACCCUGAUCCAGCCAUGCCGCGUGUGUGAAGAAGGCCUUAUGGUUGUAAAGCACUUUAAGCGAGGAGGAGGCUCUCUUGGUUAAUACCCAAGAAGAGUGGACGUUACUCGCAGAAUAAGCACCGGCUAACUCUGUGCCAGCAGCCGAGGUAAUACAGAGGGUGCGAGCGUUAAUCGGAUUUACUGGGCGUAAAGCGUGCGUAGGCGGCUUUUUAAGUCGGAUGUGAAAUCCCCGAGCUUAACUUGGGAAUUGCAUUCGAUACUGGGAAGCUAGAGUAUGGGAGAGGAUGGUAGAAUUCCAGGUGUAGCGGUGAAAUGCGUAGAGAUCUGGAGGAAUACCGAUAGCGAAGGCAGCCAUCUGGCCUAAUACUGACGCUGAGGUACGAAAGCAUGGGGAGCAAACAGG
RNAcentral lists this ribosomal RNA (430 nucleotides) under bacterium. RNAcentral describes it as "partial 16S ribosomal RNA". It matches the Rfam family "Bacterial small subunit ribosomal RNA", at positions 355 to 776 of the family's 1533-position model. The record is from RNAcentral.